RNAcentral lists this ribosomal RNA (823 nucleotides) under Bisbaumannia salifodinae. RNAcentral's name for it is "bacterial SSU rRNA". It matches the Rfam family "Bacterial small subunit ribosomal RNA", at positions 74 to 895 of the family's 1533-position model. The record is from RNAcentral. Lineage: Bacteria; Pseudomonadati; Pseudomonadota; Gammaproteobacteria; Oceanospirillales; Halomonadaceae.
GCUUGCUUCCAGGCGUCGAGCGGCGGACGGGUGAGUAAUGCAUAGGAAUCUGCCCGAUAGUGGGGGAUAACGUGGGGAAACUCACGCUAAUACCGCAUACGUCCUACGGGAGAAAGCAGGGGAUCUUCGGACCUUGCGCUAUCGGAUGAGCCUAUGUCGGAUUAGCUAGUUGGUGAGGUAACGGCUCACCAAGGCGACGAUCCGUAGCUGGUCUGAGAGGAUGAUCAGCCACACUGGGACUGAGACACGGCCCAGACUCCUACGGGAGGCAGCAGUGGGGAAUAUUGGACAAUGGGGGAAACCCUGAUCCAGCCAUGCCGCGUGUGUGAAGAAGGCCUUCGGGUUGUAAAGCACUUUCAGCGAGGAAGAAGGCCUGAGGGCUAAUACCCUUCAGGAAGGACAUCACUCGCAGAAGAAGCACCGGCUAACUCCGUGCCAGCAGCCGCGGUAAUACGGAGGGUGCGAGCGUUAAUCGGAAUUACUGGGCGUAAAGCGCGCGUAGGUGGCUUGAUAAGCCGGUUGUGAAAGCCCCGGGCUCAACCUGGGAACGGCAUCCGGAACUGUCAGGCUAGAGUGCAGGAGAGGAAGGUAGAAUUCCCGGUGUAGCGGUGAAAUGCGUAGAGAUCGGGAGGAAUACCAGUGGCGAAGGCGGCCUUCUGGACUGACACUGACACUGAGGUGCGAAAGCGUGGGUAGCAAACAGGAUUAGAUACCCUGGUAGUCCACGCCGUAAACGAUGUCGACUAGCCGUUGGGUUCCUUGAGAACUUUGUGGCGCAGUUAACGCGAUAAGUCGACCGCCUGGGGAGUACGGCCGCAAGGUU